RNAcentral lists this long non-coding RNA (233 nucleotides) under Gossypium barbadense (sea-island cotton). RNAcentral describes it as "long non-coding RNA (GBAR_LNC011412)". Lineage: Eukaryota; Viridiplantae; Streptophyta; Magnoliopsida; Malvales; Malvaceae. The record is from RNAcentral.
UUGACUAAUAAACUGUACUAAUUGGCUCGACCAAAAAUUCUAGAAAACAAUAUGUAGAUGGGAAUAUGAGUCUAGUUUCAGGGAAAAAUUACGAAAUUGAUUUUCGAGUUGUGAAACUCAAGAUAUGAUUUUUAAGGUGACAGUGAUGCAGUUAGCCAACUGCCUGGAAAAUUUUAAAAUGGACUGCAAUAGUAAGCGAAUUUAGUCUGUGAACCCCUCGUGUCCGACUCCGG